Molecule: ribosomal RNA, 334 nt
Filed under: uncultured Nitrospirota bacterium
Lineage: Bacteria; Pseudomonadati; Nitrospirota
Description: bacterial SSU rRNA
Rfam family: Bacterial small subunit ribosomal RNA
Source: RNAcentral
AACGAACGCUGGCGGCGUGCCUAACACAUGCAAGUCGGACGGACUCAUUUUGAAGUAGCAAUACGGAGAGAUGAGUUAGUGGCGGACGGGUGAGUAACACGUAGGUAACCUACCCUUAAGCGGGGGACAACUCAGGGAAACUUGAGCUAAUACCGCAUAAGACCACGGGCUGAGAUGCCAGUGGGAAAAGGAGCAAUCCACUUAAGGAUGGGCCUGCGGCCUAUCAGGUAGUUGGUGAGGUAACGGCCCACCAAGCCAGAGACGGGUAGCCGGGCUGAGAGGUUGAACGGCCACACUGGAACUGAGAUACGGUCCAGACUCCUACGGGAGGCUG